GUCAGUGUGGCCGAGUGGUUAAGGCGAUUGACUCGAAUUUUCAUACAUAUUCGAUAUCAAUUCCAUUCGUGGGCACAGGUUCGAAUCCUGUCGCUGACG
Molecule: transfer RNA, 99 nt
Filed under: Aspergillus transmontanensis
Lineage: Eukaryota; Fungi; Ascomycota; Eurotiomycetes; Eurotiales; Aspergillaceae
Description: tRNA-Ser
Rfam family: tRNA
About the family: Transfer RNA (tRNA) molecules are approximately 80 nucleotides in length. Their secondary structure includes four short double-helical elements and three loops (D, anti-codon, and T loops). Further hydrogen bonds mediate the characteristic L-shaped molecular structure. tRNAs have two regions of fundamental functional importance: the anti-codon, which is responsible for specific mRNA codon recognition, and the 3' end, to which the tRNAs corresponding amino acid is attached (by aminoacyl-tRNA synthetases). tRNAs cope with the degeneracy of the genetic code in two manners: having more than one tRNA (with a specific anti-codon) for a particular amino acid; and 'wobble' base-pairing, i.e. permitting non-standard base-pairing at the 3rd anti-codon position.
Source: RNAcentral